UUUGGCAAACGUCUAAUGACAAAGAGCCACCAUUGCCAAAUUCACCACUGUCUUUCACCAAGUUGAUUCAUUUUGAACUGGUUCCAGCAAUCUACUCAGAGUUGACCUCAGAGCAAAAAAUUGAACAACAGCUCCAUAUGUUGAUAUGAACUGUGACCCCGGGAGAAUGGUGGAAAAGUGUCUUGAUCCAGGAAGGAAGGGGUAUAGAGAAAAUAUGAGUCUCACCACAAUAGAAGGAACAUAUGCAAAAUCCAUCAAACAUACCAUAAAAUCAAUGUGGGAGCAACACCACUUUGGCCUACUGCUCCCUGAAAAGAUUUCUCUAGUCAGGUGAUGACAGGAGUACAUUUGUAAAUAAAUUACCAAGUUGCUUUUCACUUGAUGGAGAAGGAAGAAAAGGAUUGUCUCCUGGAAGUAUUUUUAUUGUCUUAAUAGGUAGGAUAAUAUCUCUGUUCAGCAAAGUGAGAUCUUUUGAGAAUCUUAACAAAUGUAUACCCCUCCCUCUCACCUUUUCCUCCCUGGUGUAUUUCACAGGCAGCUUUGCUAACUGACUGCACUACUACCAAUAGAUUCUGUCACUUUAGAAAUGGGGUUUUUCCUUUUAUAGGCAGAUUGAUGGACUAAGUGUCAAGGUUUUAGAACAGUAGCAUGAGUGGGGCAGACUCUAUAAACCAUAAGUCCAGUAUUGACAAAUGUCCUAGCCAAUCCAGAUGUUUCUAUUUGUUAAAUUGCCUUUAUCAACUCAUAGUUGUACAGCACAGGAUAUGGAAAAUAAUUGACAAGUUCUGAGAAGCCAGUUACUGAGCU
RNAcentral lists this long non-coding RNA (807 nucleotides) under Pongo abelii (Sumatran orangutan). RNAcentral describes it as "lincRNA". The record is from RNAcentral. Lineage: Eukaryota; Metazoa; Chordata; Mammalia; Primates; Hominidae.